UUAUCUAUUUACUUAUUAGCACAUCCAUGUAAUGUGCACUGCGUCUACAACUAAUGACAGCCUAUGAACUACUGUAAGUCAACACAUCCCCCAGACUCUCAAACCCGGUGUAACGUUAACUAAAGGAAACUGUAGCAUGUUAUGAUCAACAAUAAACC
This is a long non-coding RNA of Sander lucioperca (pikeperch), 158 nucleotides long. RefSeq lists it as uncharacterized. The transcript is spliced from 3 exons. NCBI's taxonomy places the organism in Eukaryota, Metazoa, Chordata, Actinopteri, Perciformes, Percidae. The record is from RefSeq and is a predicted model, not a curated record.